UACGUAGGCAGCGAGCGUUGUUCGGAGUUACUGGGCGUAAAGGGUGCGUAGGCGGUUGUUUAAGUUUGGUGUGAAAUCUCCCGGCUCAACUGGGAGGGUGCGCCGAAUACUGAAUGACUAGAGUGCGGGAGAGGAUAGUGGAAUUCCUGGUGUAGCGGUGAAAUGCGUAGAUAUCAGGAGGAACACCGGUGGUGUAGACGGCUAUCUGGACCGUAACUGACGCUGAGGCACGAAAGCCGUGGGUAGCAAACAGG
This 254-nucleotide ribosomal RNA is filed under the name uncultured bacterium. Its description in RNAcentral is "partial 16S ribosomal RNA". It matches the Rfam family "Bacterial small subunit ribosomal RNA", at positions 524 to 776 of the family's 1533-position model. The record is from RNAcentral.